AUUUUGGACAUUGGGGGAAACCCUGAUCCAGCCAUCCCGCGUGUAUGAUGAAGGCCUUCGGGUUGUAAAGUACUUUUGGCAGAGAAGAAAAGGUAUCUCCUAAUACGAGAUUCUGCUGACGGUAUCUGCAGAAUAAGCACCGGCUAACUACGUGCCAGCAGCCGCGGUAAUACGGAGGGUGCAAGCGUUAACCGGAAUUACUGGGCGUAAAGGGUGCGUAGGCGGUUCGGAAAGACAGCUGUGAAAGCCCAGGGCUCAACCUUAGAACUGCAUUUUAAACUGCCGUGCUAGAGUAUGUCAGAGGGGGGUAGAAUUCGACGUGUAGCAGUGAAAUGCGUAGAUAUGUGGAGGAAUACCGAUGGCGAAGGCAGCCCCCUAAGAUAAUACUGACGCUCAGACACGAAAGCGUGGGGAGCAAACA
This 421-nucleotide ribosomal RNA is filed under the name uncultured bacterium. RNAcentral describes it as "partial 16S ribosomal RNA". It matches the Rfam family "Bacterial small subunit ribosomal RNA", at positions 361 to 774 of the family's 1533-position model. The record is from RNAcentral.